This 68-nucleotide transfer RNA is filed under the name Scincella vandenburghi (Tsushima smooth skink). RNAcentral's name for it is "tRNA-Glu". It matches the Rfam family "tRNA". Rfam says of the family: Transfer RNA (tRNA) molecules are approximately 80 nucleotides in length. Their secondary structure includes four short double-helical elements and three loops (D, anti-codon, and T loops). Further hydrogen bonds mediate the characteristic L-shaped molecular structure. tRNAs have two regions of fundamental functional importance: the anti-codon, which is responsible for specific mRNA codon recognition, and the 3' end, to which the tRNAs corresponding amino acid is attached (by aminoacyl-tRNA synthetases). tRNAs cope with the degeneracy of the genetic code in two manners: having more than one tRNA (with a specific anti-codon) for a particular amino acid; and 'wobble' base-pairing, i.e. permitting non-standard base-pairing at the 3rd anti-codon position. Lineage: Eukaryota; Metazoa; Chordata; Lepidosauria; Squamata; Scincidae. The record is from RNAcentral.
GUUUUUGUAGUUGAAUACAACGGUGGUUUUUCGUAUCACAGGUCUCAGUUAAAGUCCGAGUAAAAAUG